Lactuca sativa (garden lettuce) is the source of this 813-nucleotide long non-coding RNA. RefSeq lists it as uncharacterized. Lineage: Eukaryota; Viridiplantae; Streptophyta; Magnoliopsida; Asterales; Asteraceae. The record is from RefSeq and is a predicted model, not a curated record.
ACGGCGUCUAUGUUUAUUUCUUAGUUUCUUACACCAGGCCAGAAACUUCCUCCACCAUUUCACUCUUCGCACGAAACCUCCAUCUUCACCAGCACCACCACCAAUACCAGCCCCACCGCCACCAAUACCAGUCCCAGCACCGCCGUCACUAUAGAGAGGAUCAAAAGGAGUGUUAUGAAUUAAACGAAGUCUACUUGUGUCCCUUCGGAGCAAUGGUAUUUCUGCAAGGUCUUCAUCAAAAUAUUGGUUAUAAUGAAAGAUAUUGCUUUCUGGGAAGUCGCCCAUCAUAUAACUCACCACCGAAAACCAGCUCUAAGACCCAUCCGUGCACCUAAUGCCACACACCGCGGUAUGUGACUUUUCACCGUGAUAUGCAGUAAACUCACACCGAUCCACCUUGUUCCACCGUGGGAAACGGAGUUUAUCGGGGACGUCAUGUGCAUACACUUGCUUAUUUAUAAGAAAAUGAAGGGGAAAGUUUGCGCCUAAAAACAAGAAAUCCUCUUUACGGAGAAAUCGUGAUGCCGAACACAACCAACUUAUGAACGACUACUUUGGCUAUAAUGCAGUGUACGUGGAAAAAUUCACACGUUGUUCGAAUGAUUAGACGUCAUGUACUAGUUUACUAUGUUGUAAUUAUGUUUUUUUUUAUCUUUUAAAUUUAGUAUGUAUUUCGUAAUUAAUGAAUUAUGUUUCUUUUAUUAGUUUAUAUAAUUAUGUUUUAUUCAAUUAAAAAAAGAAAAACAAUGAAAAAAGUAUUGUAAAGUGUGAUAUGACAUCAAUCUGUUUGGUGUGGUGAAGGAAAAAUAAAGU